CGUUUUAGCUCAGUUGGCAGAGCAACCGGCUUUUACCCGGUCGGCCGCAGGUUCAAAUCCUGCAAACGG
RNAcentral lists this transfer RNA (69 nucleotides) under pig gut metagenome. It matches the Rfam family "tRNA". Rfam says of the family: Transfer RNA (tRNA) molecules are approximately 80 nucleotides in length. Their secondary structure includes four short double-helical elements and three loops (D, anti-codon, and T loops). The record is from RNAcentral.